RNAcentral lists this transfer RNA (69 nucleotides) under Herzensteinia microcephalus. RNAcentral's name for it is "tRNA-Ser". The record is from RNAcentral. Lineage: Eukaryota; Metazoa; Chordata; Actinopteri; Cypriniformes; Cyprinidae.
AAGGGAGAACAGAAAAUAGUAAGUACUGAUAAUCCUUACCCUCCACGGUUAAAAUCCGAGGCUUCCUUG